AGGCUAGUGUAUUUUCCCUUAAUGCUUAGAGCAACUACAACUCUCAACUGGGAGAAUGCCAAGAUCGCCAUGUUGAAGGAUUAAUAGAACAAGGAACAACAAAUAUUUGAGUGCAUGAUUGCAAAAUUGUUUGAAGAGUACAAGUUUUUCAACAGAUACCCUGAUAGACAACUUAAGCUUGCUGCUAUUGUCGUUGGUAAUGCCUCUUAUAUCUAUUCAAAACUUUAUUCAUUUUUCCAAAUCAGGAAAUAUGGUUUUUAUAAAUUUGAAAUGACAGGAUUGCUUAUUAAGAAUCAACUCGUGACCCAUCUGACACUUGGAAUUGCAUUACGUGUUGUUUGGAUGCAUUGUGCAAACCUACAUAUUCCAAAAUGUUUGUUUUCGGUACAAAGGCUUUGGAGAAGUUUGUGGAUCGACUGAUUGAGUGGCCUCAAUACUGCAUAUCUUACACAUGUCACAUCUACCUGCUACUCAUUCAGGGCUUGUUGCUUUCAUCAAAAGGGAACUUGCAAGAAUCUCAUUUGGCCACUUGGACCAAUGGUUGGAGAAGUUAGAUCCAGCAUGAUUUCUACUCUAAAUCAAGUCGAUUUAUCAAUUGAAGUUGCCAAAUCAUCACAUCCAGGUGGUCAUUCACGUAUAUUAUCUUAGGUUUGAUAUAUUUUUUAUAUAUAUUUACGAGAUGUUCUUUGCAUCCAUGUUUUGAUAUUAACAGUUUCUUUUGAUAAAUAGUAUGCUGCUCUUCUCCAUCUUCCUUCUGCAACAUUAAGUGGAGAUGAAAAGAUGGCAGCUUUAGGCUUAUAUGAUCAACUUCCAUCUGCUCAAGGACUUCUACAAGCACAAUUACCAUUUAAAUGGUGUUAUUUUUGUCUUUACAGAUACCAACAUCAAGUUUGUGUAUAUUUGUA
Lactuca sativa (garden lettuce) is the source of this 905-nucleotide non-coding RNA. Lineage: Eukaryota; Viridiplantae; Streptophyta; Magnoliopsida; Asterales; Asteraceae. The record is from RefSeq and is a predicted model, not a curated record.